GCUCAGGACGAACGCUGGCGGCGUGCCUAAUACAUGCAAGUCGAGCGGACAGAUGGGAGCUUGCUCCCUGAUGUUAGCGGCGGACGGGUGAGUAACACGUGGGUAACCUGCCUGUAAGACUGGGAUAACUCCGGGAAACCGGGGCUAAUACCGGAUGCUUGAUUGAACCGCAUGGUUCAAUUAUAAAAGGUGGCUUUUAGCUACCACUUACAGAUGGACCCGCGGCGCAUUAGCUAGUUGGUGAGGUAACGGCUCACCAAGGCNACGAUGCGUAGCCGACCUGAGAGGGUGAUCGGCCACACUGGGACUGAGACACGGCCCAGACUCCUACGGGAGGCAGCAGUAGGGAAUCUUCCGCAAUGGACGAAAGUCUGACGGAGCAACGCCGCGUGAGUGAUGAAGGUUUUCGGAUCGUAAAACUCUGUUGUUAGGGAAGAACAAGUACCGUUCGAAUAGGGCGGUACCUUGACGGUACCUAACCAGAAAGCCACGGCUAACUACGUGCCAGCAGCCGCGGUAAUACGUAGGUGGCAAGCGUUGUCCGGAAUUAUUGGGCGUAAAGCGCGCGCAGGCGGUUUCUUAAGUCUGAUGUGAAAGCCCCCGGCUCAACCGGGGAGGGUCAUUGGAAACUGGGGAACUUGAGUGCAGAAGAGGAGAGUGGAAUUCCACGUGUAGCGGUGAAAUGCGUAGAGAUGUGGAGGAACACCAGUGGCGAAGGCGACUCUC
RNAcentral lists this ribosomal RNA (726 nucleotides) under Bacillus subtilis. RNAcentral describes it as "bacterial SSU rRNA". It matches the Rfam family "Bacterial small subunit ribosomal RNA", at positions 22 to 729 of the family's 1533-position model. The record is from RNAcentral. Lineage: Bacteria; Bacillati; Bacillota; Bacilli; Caryophanales; Bacillaceae.